RNAcentral lists this unclassified non-coding RNA (1229 nucleotides) under Leishmania donovani. RNAcentral describes it as "gene:LdHU3.36.9630(CDS-product:Ribosomal_protein_ L1p/L10e_family_putative)". The record is from RNAcentral. Lineage: Eukaryota; Euglenozoa; Kinetoplastea; Trypanosomatida; Trypanosomatidae.
CGAUAUACCUCAUUCCGUGUCUUUUUUGUCUUCGGCACCUUCAGUGGUAUUGUGCUCUAGUGCGGCAGGAUGAGUUUUCUUGUUCGAACGGAGGAGGCUGUAAAGAAGCUCGUGUCCUUUAUUGCCUCAGAGACCGCCGCGCAGACGUCAGGCAACGACGUAGAUGAUCUUUUCGCGCCGGUGCGAGAGAGCAACAACGUGCCUGUUGAUGUUCAAAUUGCCUUUCUCGCUGCUCCUGCAGCGCACCGUGUUCCACUGUACUUCGUGGUGCCGCACGAAGUUGUCAGCGGAACUCUGUGCUUGAUCACACCGCCACCGCAGCGGAAGUAUAAGGACCUAGUUUUCGCUCUGAGCGAGGACGGCGAUGCAGUUGCUAAGCGUGUGAGGCGCGUUAUUGAUAGCAAGAAACUCGCGGCCAAGGUGGCAGACCCUGUGGCGGUGCGUUCGUUUGCCAAGAGCUACGACCACUUCAUUGUGUACGGGCUCACCAAGUACCCGCGGCAGCUGACAGGAGAGUUUCUUGAGCACCGCAAGGUUCCCGCAUGGGUGAGCAGCAAAGGCAAGUUUCCGGAAAAGCUUCGAAAGGCGGUGCACACUGUCGUGGUGACGCGCCGUGGCGACAACCAGGUCACGUGCCGCGUGGGACACACCGGGCUCUCGACCCAGGAAAUUGUCGAGAACAUUAUAGCCUUCUUGGACAAGUUUGUCAAGCACCCUGACGCAGUGCCGCUCAAGAACAUUCUUCACAUCCGUGUUGCGGCCACAAGUACAAAUAGCAAGCGCGUGGGCUUGCCCAUAUUUGGUCACGCUUUCCAGUUUAAGCCCGUGACGGAGUCGGCAGAGUCGCCGCGGAAGCGUAGAAAAGUGGAGGCGUGACUGUGUGGCGAGAAGUACUAGAAGAUGGCGAGGGAGGACUCUUGCUGCGAUGCUGAAUUAUUCGCCCGUGCUUUUUGGAGUACAUUGGUCGCACGUCUCCGUGGAUCCUGAACCGGUGGCGAUGGCGGUGACGCUCAGUUUUGGUCUCGACAACAGUCUUCACAGUUGUCAUCGUGCUCUGCAGUGUAGAUCCGUGCUCGGAAACAGAGGCAGUAGUUGUUAUGGGGCUAAACUGUUUAAUUGAUUCCUAAUCCAUCUCUAAAGGUGCUCGCUUAACAUGCAUGCAUGCCCAUGAUCACAUCGACGAACCAUUUCACUUCAUGUGUGAUUUUUUGUGUUCCCUGUCUCUUAGG